This is a long non-coding RNA of Momordica charantia (bitter melon), 537 nucleotides long. RefSeq lists it as uncharacterized. The record is from RefSeq and is a predicted model, not a curated record. NCBI's taxonomy places the organism in Eukaryota, Viridiplantae, Streptophyta, Magnoliopsida, Cucurbitales, Cucurbitaceae.
CUCCUCCACGGUCUCUCCGAUGGUCAUUAUCCCGGAGAACUCAAAAUCAUCCGCUCUUCAGUCCACAUUGCUCUGAAAUCUAUGAAGCUCGAGAAAUUAUGCUGAAGAUUCGCCAGAUACCAAUGCAGUGGAGAAUGAAGAUGAGGAAAUUAGGAACGUGCUGAAAAUGUCACUAGCGAAAGAAUUAAUUAUUCCCGGCAAACAUUCCAAAAUAUCAAUGGAGGCAGUUUAUUUUCUGGAAUCUGAAAGACAACGUGUUGAGCAGACGCAAUCGGUGGGCAGAGGACACAGUCACGGUCACCCAUUUGUCUACUCCACUUCUUCUUGUUGGUACUUCUUUAUAACCUUAUUUUUCUCUUUUUUUAAUUUUCUUAAUUUUCACAUUAUAUUAUACCCCGUUCAAAUUUGACCCAUAAGCCAUUAUAUCUCUCAUUUCAUAUUAGACCCUUAAUUCUUUUUUGCCCUUUUUCAUAUUAUACCUCUCUAGCAAGUGGUAGAUUUCGAGUCUAAAAAACGAGCCACAUUUCUCAUAUACAU